Molecule: ribosomal RNA, 334 nt
Filed under: uncultured eukaryote
Lineage: Eukaryota
Description: partial 18S ribosomal RNA
Rfam family: Eukaryotic small subunit ribosomal RNA
Source: RNAcentral
CCCUUAGAUGUCCGGGGCCGCACGCGCGCUACACUGAAGGAAUCAGCGUGGCUUUCUCCCUGACCCGAAAGGGUUGGGAAACCCGUUGAAUCUCCUUCGUGAUAGGGAUUGGGGCUUGAAAUUGUUCCCCAUGAACGAGGAAUUCCCAGUAAGCGCGAGUAAUAAGCUCGCGUUGAUUACGUCCCUGCCCUUUGUACACACCGCCCGUCGCUACUACCGAUUGAACGGUUUAGUGAGGGCCUCGGAUUGGUCUCGGCCCGCUCUUUACCGGGCGGCGCCGUUGGUCGAGAAGACGCUCGAACUUGAUCGUUUAGAGGAAGUAAAAGUCGUAACA